ACCCAUCCAAAAGAACCAAAUCAAAAAGCAAUAGCGUAUGAGAACCGAAAACAAACUGUUACAGAAUCAAACUCAAGAGCAAUUUUUCAUAGUCUCAGUUAAAUUCACGAUAAUUUCGACCAUAAUAACUUGUGUGUUCUAAAAAUCCCCUCUCUGUUUUUAUAGAAAUAAAAAUCAACCUUUUGAGUAUAUACAGGAGAUAUUUGCAGGAUCCAUUGCUUGGUCCCGAUUUCAGUUCGAUCAUAAUUUCAAUUGUGGUUUAACUUUAACUUAAAACUAUACGAGAAUCAUAAUCAAAACUAAACAUAACUACCAUGAAUCAUGAACAUGGAAAAUUAGUAAAUUUGGAUAUAGAAAACCGUGAAAUUAUGUUAAAACCAAAUUAAAUUGAUCAUGUCCAUAUAAUUGAAAACUUUCACCACUUUAGGUUUGAUGACCACUAGACUUCACUCAUUUUGGACCAGACCUGAACCCUAAAACCAGAGCCGGCGCAGUCCUUUAGGCCGAACAAUCCGGCUCCUCAGUCUCGACUCAAAAACACGAGGCAGACCGAGUCCCAUGUGAGUCCGAAUUCAGUGGGGAGAAACUCAAUCCAGUAACGUCCCAAUAAUUUUGCAAUCCUAUCCGCAUCUGCGCCGGGAGAAUUAAUUGGUUGCGUGGUGUGAAGAGAGACCUGACGCUUUCGUACGUAUAAGGAAUUAAUGGCCUCAACUGAAUUGCAUAUCUAAAUUGCAUAAUUUAUAUUGAACAUAAUUUCUUAGAAAUACAAUUAAUACUCACUUCCUAAACUGCCCUUAAAAAUAAAAAUGAAAAAUUAAGGUUUCCUAUAUAAAAAAAUAAUACCUAAAAUAAAUUUAUGAACAUGUGAACCAAAUAAUAAUACAUUAAUAAAUAUGAAAUAAAUUGACAUGACGAAGUCCAUAAUGUGGCUUUGCACAGUUCACAGAGAUUUCAUUGUCUAUGUGUGGCUUUCUAUUCCUUUCUUAUCAUAUAGUGGCUAUGCGUCUUUGACAUGUCUCUCCUUGUAAAUAAGCACUCUACAGGCCUUCCACAUUCAGGAUUCCAAGAUUCACGAGUCAUUCUUUCACAUUAGCAUAAAAAACAAUUUGAAACCAUUCCAGGAAAUUUCAAAUUAUGCUAAAUUAUCGUGAACAAAAGGUAAUCCCUCAAAUCGGCUCUCACUUAUUUUAAAAAGAGAAAAACCUCUCUUUUCAUUUUUUUGAAAAAAAAUUUCGUUUUGGCUCGAUAUAACUCACAAUCGGGAUAGAUAUAUAUAUGAUUUUUUAUUUUAGUUGCUUCCUGCAAUUAGUUUUGACUCAAAUAGAGGAAGCCUCCUUACUCUGCCCGAUUGUGAGUUACUCUCUUACAAUCGGGAUAGAUAUAUAUAUAUAUAUGAUUUUUUACUUGAGUAGAGGAAGCCUCCUUCCUUUGUUCGAUUGUGAGUUACUCUCUUACAAUCGGGAUAGAUAUAUAUAUAUAUGAUUUUUGAUUUUGGUUGCUUGCAACAGUGCUUUUUAGCGAGAGUUUUUCUAUGGCUGCAUGUUGUUUUUUUCUGUACGCGUUUCUUUUUGUUAUGGUUUCAGGUUGAAGCCCUCCAGAUCUGCUUUUCUCUUGGUUUUCUUUCUGGCGAAAGGAAAGAUAGUUCAUGAAGCGGGCAAAUUUGAAAGCUUUUGUGUUGCCGAGAUUUAACAGAAAGGUGAAAAUAUAGUUUAUGGUCCGACAUAUUUUCUGCCAAAGACCACAACCGGUGUCAGCUGUGAUAGAGAAGCCAUGAUUUAACAGAAAGUCGGAAUCUGUGGAUUACUUGUCAUAUUGCUGUUGAUAGCACCUUAACAAAGGAGGUAGUAGUAGUAUAGUAUCCAUAACGAAGUGAUCUUAAAGGCAUUAAGAGGCAGUAAAGUAGCAGAAUAUAGCUAGGACUAAUAAAUACCCAGUCAAUCCCUAAAGAAAUUGUGAUGGGGAGAGAGAUGAAACAAUAAACUAUGAUAUUCACCAACUUCAUUUGUCCUAAAAUACCAGAGUUUGAUAAUAAUACUUGGACAUUGUACGACACUUCAAGACUUCAAGUAGCGAAAGCCGGCCCCUGCAGACAUGCCCAUAUAUAUGAUAACUGGGUCUGGUUAGCAAAUGAUUGCCCUAAAUCCUAAGUAGGACAUUAUUAUUUACAAAACAAAGGUACUUCAAAAAUCUUAAUUCCAGUAAUUCUCAAGGGUGAAAAACAAGAGAAGGGUGAAAAACAAGAGAUGGAGGGAUAUAUUCUCACACACUAUAGGAACAAAAAAUAUUUGGCAUGCAUAAGAACUCAAACAAAGAUAUCAUGAAUAUAGCUUUUUAUAUUAACUCUAUACGAGGUGGAAACCUUCACCGCUUCCUUCUUUUCAUGUGACUAAAAAGUACCAUAACUCGUGCUGUGCGUCAACUCACUCGUGUAGAUGAACAAAAUAAGAGGAGCAGCUACAUAAGAAAGAUCAAAGGAACGUGUCUAAAUCCUACCAAGGAAGUCCAGGACAGAUCCUUGGUUCUCUACUGCAAUUGUUGAUCAAUGCCAACCUGCAGCUAUAACAGUUGGACACAAGUGCGGAUGCAUUUUCUGUCUGUUCACUGGGCUAUCAAAAGAAUAACAUAACUGUCUCAACACCUCUUUACAAGGCUUUGUGGUUUGUGCAGCUUCUUUCCACCAACGCAUACACCAAUAAUGAGCAUAAGUACUAAAAGAAGUUUGCUAAUAACGCAAUCUAACACCAUAGGAAAGAAAGGUGAGAAUAAGUGGCACAGAACAGCUCGCAGGGCUUAUUGCUUAGGCCAGAAUUUGGGUUUAUUAGAAAUCUAGAAUGGGUAGAAGUUUAGAUUAACAAUUAGGCUUCAUGAAAGGGUGGGACUGAGAAGUAUAAAUAAACAAGAAGAUAAUAGUUUGGGGCCGCUCAAAAUGCACAUUAGACACUGUGAAGUGUGAACAGUUGAAUAAAAGAUUUUAAGCUUCACAUGUAAACUUCCUUAGGCAUCAAGGACAAGGUCCCAAAGCACGUGCGCAAUGGGACACAAAUAUCACACUACCAUUGUUAAUCUGGAGUUCCGCAUCACAUAGACAUCACAACCGAGGCAGAAUUGCAUCCCCCAGUCUACAGUAAAUCUCACUCGGUCUAAUACCAUAACUUCACUAAGAUUCAAUUCAUUACUUAAAUUCCCUAAACCUUGAUUUUGGCAACAAUAAACCCAUUAAAAUCAAAAUCCAGCUACAUUAAAAUUGGAAGCAUGAAGUAACGAUCAUGUUAAUUAUUUUUCUCCAUUCUCUGUCAUUUUCUCCUUAUUCUAAGGGUAAAAGACAUCAAAAUAAAGCCUUGUAUGGAUACUUUUUUAGAAGGAAAGAAAAUAAAGUGUGAAAAAUAAGAAAGGAAAUUAAAGUAAUGAGAAAGUUAGUUUCUUUCCUUCGUUUGGAUAUUGGGGAGGAAAAUAAGAGAGUUAAUGUUUACUUUACCCUUUUUAUUUGUAACUAAAAUACAGAAUAACAGGAAUAAAAAGUAAUUUCAUUUGUUCCUACUCAUUUCCUCUCCAAUCCCUUCCUUCUCUCUCCUCCAAUCCAAAUAAAAUAGGAGAAAAAUAUAUUUUUUGUUCUCCUAAAUUUUCCUUAUUUUCAUCCCAUCCAAACAUAGCAUACAGGCAAAAUAGGUGAUAUUCUUCUUACUUUCCAUUCUUUUGCUUUCCAUUCUUUUGCUUUUGGCACAAUUGGCUUCAACUGGGAGUCAAUCUCAAGAUCUCACAUUCCUGAAUAUGCCUCCAAUUUCACUAAAAUAAAACUCACUGGUUACUUUCUGACCCUUCUAAGCACUCAGCAUAAUUUAAAACGUUAAAACAACUGCCAUGACAAAUUUUUGGAUUGAAAUUGAUUGGGGAUAGGUUUUACCGACGGUUUACUGUUACACUAGUAAAAACUUAGUGAUUUUCAGGAGAAAAAAAUUAAAAUUUAUUGAAUUCUAUAGGACUAAUGAUCAGUCCAGUAGUCGUAGAUGAAAUUAACCCCAAAAUAAAAGAAGCCUAACGGUUGGCAUUUUAUCCACUAAUAAAUGUGACUAAUAAGCACCACAACCACAGGUAUCCAUAGACUUAAACUAUUCCUAAAGGCCUCACAUAACUAGUAUUAAACGUGGACACUUUGUUAAUGUAUGAAUUUACCAAACAUUUGGCAAGCUGUCUCUCAUGUGUCAUAACUGUCACUAAUGUUACUAUUUUACA
Molecule: long non-coding RNA, 4230 nt
Filed under: Manihot esculenta (cassava)
Lineage: Eukaryota; Viridiplantae; Streptophyta; Magnoliopsida; Malpighiales; Euphorbiaceae
Description: long non-coding RNA (MESC_LNC007492)
Source: RNAcentral